CAAUAGCGUAUAUUAACGUUGUUGCAGUUAAAAAGCUCGUAGUUGGAUUUCUGGAGGGAGCGUCGGCCCGUAUUUACGAGUGCGUGACGUCUCUGUCCAUCCUUGCGGGAAGGCACUGCAUUGAUUUGUUGUGUCGGAUCGCAUCAUUUACUGUGAAAAAAUUAGAGUGUUCAAAGCAGGCUUUCGCUUGAAUACAUUAGCAUGGAAUAAUAAGAUAGGACUUUGGUGCUAUUUUGUUGGUUGAGCCUAAAGUAAUGAUUAAUAGGGAUAGUUGGGGGCACCUGUAUUGCGUUGUCAGAGGUGAAAUUCUUGGAUUUACGCAAGACAAACAGCUGCGAAAGCGUCUGCCAAGGAUGUUUUCAUUAA
RNAcentral lists this ribosomal RNA (366 nucleotides) under uncultured eukaryote. Its description in RNAcentral is "partial 18S ribosomal RNA". It matches the Rfam family "Eukaryotic small subunit ribosomal RNA", at positions 592 to 976 of the family's 1831-position model. The record is from RNAcentral.